RNAcentral lists this ribosomal RNA (301 nucleotides) under uncultured bacterium. RNAcentral's name for it is "partial 16S ribosomal RNA". It matches the Rfam family "Bacterial small subunit ribosomal RNA", at positions 509 to 809 of the family's 1533-position model. The record is from RNAcentral.
CAGUCGCCGCGGUAAUACGGAGGGUGCAAGCGUUAAUCGGAAUUACUGGGCGUAAAGCGCACGCAGGCGGUCUGUCAAGUCAGAUGUGAAAUCCCCGGGCUUAACCUGGGAACUGCAUUUGAAACUGGCAGGCUAGAGUCUUGUAGAGGGGGGUAGAAUUCCAGGUGUAGCGGUGAAAUGCGUAGAGAUCUGGAGGAAUACCGGUGGCGAAGGCGGCCCCCUGGACAAAGACUGACGCUCAGGUGCGAAAGCGUGGGGAGCAAACAGGAUUAGAUACCCGCGUAGUCCCUGUCUCUUAUAA